AUGAUGACUCAAAAGGAAGUGAGGGAGGAGAGGAAGUGCCAAGGAAAGGAGCUCCAAACGAAGAUAUACUUGGAGCUCCAAACGAAGAAGCUUGACAUGGAGGAGGCCGCCAAGAGGAGGAAGCUCGACAUGAAGGAGGCCAUCCAAUCGAUGAAGCUCGCGAUCGAGGCCACCAAUGCCGACACCAAAGCAAAAGAGGUGGCACUAGCAAUCAUGAGCGUGAACUUGACCAACAUGUCCCUGAAGAGAAGAAUUUGGUUUGCGAACCAGCAAAAGGAGAUGUUCGACCAAGAGGGCCUGAACUAG
This 306-nucleotide ribosomal RNA is filed under the name Triticum aestivum (bread wheat). RNAcentral describes it as "partial small subunit ribosomal RNA". The record is from RNAcentral. Lineage: Eukaryota; Viridiplantae; Streptophyta; Magnoliopsida; Poales; Poaceae.